Molecule: ribosomal RNA, 253 nt
Filed under: uncultured bacterium
Lineage: Bacteria
Description: partial 16S ribosomal RNA
Rfam family: Bacterial small subunit ribosomal RNA
Source: RNAcentral
GACAGAGGGUGCAAGCGUUAAUCGGAAUAAUUGGGCGUAAAGGGCGUGUAGGCGGCCAUACAGGUCAGCUGUGAAAACUCGAGGCUCAACCUCGAGACGUCGGUUGAAACCGUAUGGCUAGAGUCCGGAAGAGGAGAGUGGAAUUCCCGGUGUAGCGGUGAAAUGCGCAGAUAUCGGGAAGAACACCCGUGGCGAAGGCGGCUCUCUGGGACGGUACUGACGCUGAGACGCGAAAGCGUGGGGAGCGAACAGG